RNAcentral lists this long non-coding RNA (670 nucleotides) under Citrus x clementina. RNAcentral's name for it is "Citrus clementina (C. clementina) long non-coding RNA (CCLE_LNC005527)". Lineage: Eukaryota; Viridiplantae; Streptophyta; Magnoliopsida; Sapindales; Rutaceae. The record is from RNAcentral.
ACAUUAGCAAGAGACUCGUCAUCUUCUCUCUCUCACAACCCUUAUUAUAAUGAUCCUCAUGACUUCAUCUCUUAAUUUUCCAUUGAAUCUUUGAACAUUUCCAAAAGCGUUUUUUUUUCUUUUUCAUUUUGCUUUCUUGGGUUUCAUUUUUCUUUUGUUUUUAGGAUGAUAAAGAAGAAGAAAAAGAAGAAGAAGAAGAAGAAAUAUGAUCUUGGGUGAGCUUUUUGAAGCACCAUUACUAUGUUUAUUGUUAUAUGUAUUUAUGGAGUUGAUGAUAUACGAUUUGCAAAGAGAAGUCUUGUUUCAGGUGAAACAAUAUUCACCGGACGGCAACGGCGUACAUGGGAAAGCCAGGCAUUAUUUGAUCUUCUUAUGUUCUUCUUCUUGUCUUUGUUUUUCUUUUUCUUUUUUUCCGGAGGGGGGAAGUAGAGGGAAAUAGUUUACGAAAAGUGUAUGUAGAAUGUUUAAAGAAUGUUAAGGAAAGAGAUUAAAUAGCAAAGAAAUAAGAUGAUGGAGGUACUUUUAAUUAGAUCGCCAAAUUAAAUCAUAGAAUCACAAAGUUCAUUCUAUGUUUAUUAAUUUAUUCAUCCUUUUUUUUAAUUGAAAUUAAGCGCUUUCAAAGAUAACUCAAAUUUUGCAUAAUUGAUCGUAUAAGGCCUCUCUGCUAUGA